UGGGGAAUAUUGCACAAUGGGCGCAAGCCUGAUGCAGCCAUGCCGCGUGUGUGAAGAAGGCCUUCGGGUUGNAAAGCACUUUCAGCGAGGAGGAAGGUGGUGAGCUUAAUACGCUCAUCAAUUGACGUUACUCGCAGAAGAAGCACCGGCUAACUCCGUGCCAGCGCCGCGGUAAUACGGAGGGUGCAAGCGUUAAUCGGAAUUACUGGGCGUAAAGCGCACGCAGGCGGUUUGUUAAGUCAGAUGUGAAAUCCCCGGGCUCAACCUGGGAACUGCAUUUGAAACUGGCAAGCUAGAGGUCUCGUAGAGGGGGUAGAAUUCCAGGUGUAGCGGUGAAAUGCGUAGAGAUCUGGAGGAAUACCGGUGGCGAAGGCGGCCCCCUGGACGAAGACUGACGCUCAGGUGCGAAAGCGUGGGCAGCAAACAGGAUUAGAUACCCUGGUAGU
This 446-nucleotide ribosomal RNA is filed under the name uncultured bacterium. RNAcentral describes it as "partial 16S ribosomal RNA". It matches the Rfam family "Bacterial small subunit ribosomal RNA", at positions 355 to 794 of the family's 1533-position model. The record is from RNAcentral.